UGUGAUUUGAAAGUCACUCUGUGCUGCUCCC
RNAcentral lists this non-coding RNA (31 nucleotides) under Rattus norvegicus (Norway rat). The record is from RNAcentral. Lineage: Eukaryota; Metazoa; Chordata; Mammalia; Rodentia; Muridae.